Molecule: ribosomal RNA, 302 nt
Filed under: uncultured bacterium
Lineage: Bacteria
Description: partial 16S ribosomal RNA
Rfam family: Bacterial small subunit ribosomal RNA
Source: RNAcentral
GCAGCAGCCGCGGUAAUACGUAGGGUGCGAGCGUUAAUCGGAAUUACUGGGCGUAAAGCGUGCGCAGGCGGUUUUGUAAGACAGGCGUGAAAUCCCCGGGCUCAGCCUGGGAAUGGCGCUUGUGACUGCAAAGCUAGAGUGCGGCAGAGGGGGAUGGAAUUCCGCGUGUAGCAGUGAAAUGCGCAGAUAUGCGGAGGAACACCGAUGGCGAAGGCAAUCCCCUGGGCCUGCACUGACGCUCAUGCACGAAAGCGUGGGGAGCAAACAGGAUUAGAUACCCCCGUAGUCCCUGUCUCUUAUAC